This 804-nucleotide ribosomal RNA is filed under the name Triticum aestivum (bread wheat). RNAcentral's name for it is "partial small subunit ribosomal RNA". Lineage: Eukaryota; Viridiplantae; Streptophyta; Magnoliopsida; Poales; Poaceae. The record is from RNAcentral.
AUGGCGGCCAUGUGGUCUCCGAUCAUCGGACUCCUCCUGCUCCUGCUGCAACUAGCGCCGUCCUCUUCCUCCUACAUCCAGUUGCCGCUGGAAGGCAGCGUCCACCCUGUUGGUUACUUCUAUGUCACGAUGAACAUUGGUGGGAAGCCCUACUCACUGGACAUCGACACUGGCAGCAAUCUCACGUGGCUGGAGUGCAAGUACCCGGGCCACCAGUGCAAUACCUGCAAGGGACCCCAUCGACCAUAUGAGCCAAAUAGACAUCACAAGAAGGUGAUGUGUGGAGAUCAGUUUUGUACUGAUCUCCACAAAGACCUACCUCAUUAUCCGGAACCUCGAUGUUACACUCAACAUCCACACGAAUGUCACUACCAUAUUCAGUAUGUUGGCGGGACGUCAUCGGAAGGGUUCAUCGUCAACGACACGGUGUCUGUCGAUGUGCUCUCUCCCUCUCUUCCUUCCAGGAGAGUACAAAUUUUCUUCGGGUUCGGAUGUGGAUGUAACCAGAAACCACUGAAAGAUUCACCCGUAGAUGGCGUCCUUGGUCUUGGGAUGGGAAAGGUAGGUUUUGUCGCGCAAUUGAAGGCGCAUAACGUGAUCCGCAAGGAUAUCAUUGGGCACUGUCUCAGCAUCGAUGGAGGGGGCUACCUCUUCGUCGGGGAGCAUCACUUACCCGACCACAUAACCUGGGCCCCCAUGAGAAAAUACAGCCAUUACUACACACCUGGCCCAGCACAGCUGUUACUUGGCGGAGAGAAGAUAGGCAGUCAGAAAAUGGUGGUCUUUGACAGUGGUACCACAUAA